This is a non-coding RNA of Nothobranchius furzeri (turquoise killifish), 2991 nucleotides long. The record is from RefSeq and is a predicted model, not a curated record. Lineage: Eukaryota; Metazoa; Chordata; Actinopteri; Cyprinodontiformes; Nothobranchiidae.
UUCUACACGUAGUACCCUGCCUUGUUUGGUUUUAUUAAAACAGGAACAGAAAGGGUUGUUCUUCAUCUUGUUUUGCUAAUUUGCUAAUUAAUUAUCUUCAGAGCUGUGCCGAUGUUGGUGGUGUCACUUCCUUCUCCAUUUAACGGCGCAGCUCUGAUGAUGGCUUUUGUAAUUAGCCAAAACAUUAGCAAAACAAGGUAUAGAAACCCCCUUUUUUCUGUCUUUUAAAAGAACAAAACAAGGCAAGUUGACAAAAUACACAGAAUAAACGUACAGAAGACGUAGUACCCUGGUUUCCCUUGAGGUCGUGUAUCUCCAAUAAUUCAUGGGUUUACAGCUGGGAGGUUUAAUUUAGCAUUCAUAAUUGGAUUUUUACAUUUGUACAGCGUACAACCCGGCCCUCUUGCCGAAUGAAUGACACAGUCAUUUGAUUCCAGAUCACCUGAGAGGUAAUCUCCAAGGACACGCCCCCUACUGGUGCCAGUGCAAGGGUUUGUGUUGUCCUUUUGAAGUCUAACGGGAAUUGGAGGCAUUUUGUGGUGUUUCUGGGACUUUGUUGGUCGUAGAAGACAUUCUGGAUUGCCUCAGUCAGGAAAAACAGAGUUGGGAGGGACAAGCUAAACAAAAGUGUUUGGAUGCUUCUCCUCUGACCUCAGCAUGACUUUUUCAUCCACAUCAUCUGAAUGUUUUCUAUGUUUCAGUUUUCAUCGAUGUUUGCCAUGCCUCUGCACCAGCGAAGCUACGCUAUGAGCGUGUGAAGCUGCAGUUAACUCUCUUUCAAACAUGCCGGGGCAUCCAAGCUAAACUCUUAGCAUUACCGCGUUAACACCUACUGUGGGAGUCGUGACGGAGCACCGCGGCUCUGAAUGGUGGGAGCGACCUUGAGUGCAGCACCAGGAAUUCUCUCCACUUGACAGCUGGCUCUGGCGCCUGCCCUUGACUUAGCGAGUGAUAAUGCUGUCAGAGAUUUUGGGGAAGAGAACUGCUGGCACGCUAAUCUCAAAGAGGCAAGGAGGAGCUGUCCCUGGCAUUCUCAGGGAGGCGUUGACAGUAAAGCUACCAGUUGUUCCAUCCUGCUGGGAUAGUGCUGGGAGAUAAAAGGGCCCAAAAGUUUCCCAGGUUGCUGUGGACAACCAGAGCAAAUGCUUGAUUAGAUGAGGAGGUGUGGUGUCCGUGGCAGCUGUGGUUUCAUCAUGGGGGUCCCUCAGGACAGGACAUGCAAACCAUAAUAAAGUCUCAGAAAUGGUCUCAGUGAUGGACAGCACACACCAGCAGGAGGGAUUAAGACAGCUGGCAGGCUGCGCUCAUGCUCAGAUGACAGCAAUUCAACUUUAUCAAACUUUUUGACACAAUACCCCGCCCCAUCCAGAUCCAGGGCUUUCAGCAGCAAGUGCACCUCCUAGUUCCUCACACGUGCUCUGCGCAUUUGUUGGACAUCCUUCAGUACUGUGAAGAUGACCCGAGUCCUGCAGAUGGUUGUUUGUAAAUUAAACCCAAACUGCCCCCUUGUGCUCUAUGAUGUACUGGACCCAUGACACAAGUCUUACUUUGCAUUAUUGUGUUAACAUGAUAUGGUUACACAAAAGAUGAAAAUAUUUGUGCAAAAUAAAUGAUUUAGGAGCUAAAAUUAUAGAAAAUAUUCAACUUCCAUGAAAAAAUACGGUAUGAAAUGUCUAUUUUUUAUUGUUUGUUUGUUUUGUUUUUUAAUAAAGUUGGACAGAUUUGAAUUCUGGACAGAAAUGUUUGGUUUGACCAGCAGAUGGCAGCAUUUCUAAUUUUGGGGUUGUUAGGAAACUGUGAGCUAGACUCAUCCUGUGUUAUAUUCACUUCAACAUUUAAAAAGAUACAUUUAUUAUAAUAAUUUCGUUUACUAGAAAAUAAUUAUUUAAUUGUUUCUGGUCGACCUCAUCAUGAAUUUGAUUUGUCUACAAAAAGGCCUAUCAGUUGUUUGCAGGGAUGAACAAAUCCAUGUGCAUGAAUUCUGAUGCUUUUACUGAACAACAGCCCCCAAAAGGUUUAAAUUAACAAUUGAAUAGGUCAAAUUAAAAAUAUAAAGUGAAUUAUUUUGAGUAAAGUAUAGUUUAAUAGCAUUUCUAAAGACCUUCAUGCAGAAAACUUAAGAUUUCCUCCAAUUUUUAAGUUUGUCCGCAAAUAAAACGCAAAUGAUAAUAAUAAUAAUAUAAACUCACUCCUAACCAGCAUUUUUCCACACCAAAGGAGACUUCUUAUUCUUGUCGUUUUCUACUUAUUUUAAUUAUCUUCCUCUCCAAGCUUCUCCAUUUGCUCUUUGUCCUUCUUUGUUCUGUUUGGUUAGAGAUGGUGGUUAGAAAAAGCUCGUUGAAGAGAAUAACAUACAUGUAUGUUGUUCAUGUUGCGUGUUUAUGAGUGGAAAAGCCUCUCCGGUUGCAUGGGAACCUGAGUCCAGCUAAUCCUGCUUUGGGCUGGAGAGGGUUUCUCCAAACAAAUCAUCCCGUUCUAAGACCUUCAAGUGGACUCCUGGAUCUCUUUGCCAAGUAUCACCAUAUAAAACAAAAAGAACCCAGAGAACCCCCCUUUUCACAUGAAACAGCUACCUACCGUGCGGCAAAUCCCCCGUCUGUGUCUUUUCUUCCAGGAGUAGGAAAAGGAGAAAGGAAUGGGGUGUGGAUAAGCCGGAGCAGCAGGAGACUGUCAAGUUGAAGGACUGAGAUGACCUGUUUUUAGAAGAAGGGAUGAGUCUGAAUAACGGCUGCUCAUGAAGGGGUCAUUGUUGGACUGCAGACUCAGACGGAGAGGAGAAAGCAGCAGAGCUGGAAUAUUUGAAGUGGUUACUUCUGUUGUUCCUAAUUAUACUCUGUGUGUGUGUGUGUGUGUUUGUGUGUGUGCGUGCGUGCGUGCGUGUGCGCGUGCGUGCGUGUGUGUGUGUGUGUGUGUGUGUGUGUGUGUGUGUGUGUGUGUGAUAUUCAUUGAAUAUCUAUGCGAUAUCCAUUGCAUAUAUUCUAAAAGUCCACU